RNAcentral lists this ribosomal RNA (656 nucleotides) under uncultured bacterium. RNAcentral describes it as "bacterial SSU rRNA". It matches the Rfam family "Bacterial small subunit ribosomal RNA", at positions 139 to 813 of the family's 1533-position model. The record is from RNAcentral.
GGGGACAACAGCCGGAAACGGCUGCUAAUACCGCAUAAGCGCACAGUUUCGCAUGGAACAGUGUGAAAAACUCCGGUGGUGUAAGAUGGGCCCGCGUCUGAUUAGCUUGUUGGCGGGGUAACGGCCCACCAAGGCGACGAUCAGUAGCCGACCUGAGAGGGUGACCGGCCACAUUGGGACUGAGACACGGCCCAAACUCCUACGGGAGGCAGCAGUGGGGAAUAUUGCACAAUGGGGGAAACCCUGAUGCAGCGACGCCGCGUGAGCGAAGAAGUAUCUCGGUAUGUAAAGCUCUAUCAGCAGGGAAGAAAAUGACGGUACCUGACUAAGAAGCUCCGGCUAAAUACGUGCCAGCAGCCGCGGUAAUACGUAUGGAGCAAGCGUUAUCCGGAUUUACUGGGUGUAAAGGGAGCGUAGGCGGUAAGGCAAGUCUGAUGUGAAAGGCCGGGGCUCAACCCUGGGACUGCAUUGGAAACUGUUUAACUGGAGUGUCGGAGAGGCAAGUGGAAUUCCUAGUGUAGCGGUGAAAUGCGUAGAUAUUAGGAGGAACACCAGUGGCGAAGGCGGCUUGCUGGACGAUGACUGACGCUGAGGCUCGAAAGCGUGGGGAGCAAACAGGAUUAGAUACCCUGGUAGUCCACGCCGUAAACGAUGAA